Molecule: ribosomal RNA, 460 nt
Filed under: uncultured bacterium
Lineage: Bacteria
Description: partial 16S ribosomal RNA
Rfam family: Bacterial small subunit ribosomal RNA
Source: RNAcentral
CCUACGGGAGGCAGCAGUGAGGAAUAUUGGUCAAUGGGCGCGAGCCUGAACCAGCCAAGUCGCGUGAAGGAUGACGGCCCUACGGGUUGUAAACUUCUUUUAUAAAGGAGUAAAGUGGGGCACGUGUGCGUUUUUGUAUGUACUUUAUGAAAAAGGAUCGGCUCACUCCGUGCCAGCCGCCGCGGUAAUACGGAGGAUCCGAGCGUUAUCCGGAUUUGUUGGGUUUAAAGGGAGAGUAGAUGGGUAGUUAAGUCAGUUGUGAAAGUUUGCGGCUCAACCGUAAAAUUGCAAUUGAUACUGGCAGUCUUGAGUACAGGUGAGGUAGGCGGAAUUCGUGGUGUAGCGGUGAAAUGCUUAGAUAUCACGAAGAACUCCGAUUGCGAAGGCAGCUUACUAACCUGCCACUGACACUGAUGCUCGAAAGUGUGGGUAUCAAACAGGAUUAGAUACCCGAGUAGUC